GAAAUCAACUAAAUAAAUAGCACUAAACUGCUUAAUUUCAGAAAUAAACAGAGAGAUCGGUUGGCAACUAUCUGGGCGGAGCUAUAUCUUCCGUCGUCUCCGGCUAUUCUUUCUUCGUCGUAUAUAUGACAACAUCAAGGAGGCUUGCCGACAGGAAGGUGGAGAAAUUUGAGAAGAAUAUCAACAAACGUGGAGCUGUGGCUGAUUCGAGUGCCAAGAAGGGAAACAACUUAGCUGUUGGCCCUGUUUUGAUUGGGUUUUUCAUCUUUGUCGUCAUUGGAUCAUCUCUAUUCCAGAUAAUCAGGACGGCAACCAGUGGAGGAGGCAUGCUUUAACUUUCAUAUGGCUCAACUUAUAGCUUUAAGUUUCUUUAAUCCUUCAUGUGUUUGUUCAUUUCAUCACUUGCCACGCCCAUAUAAUUACUAGUACUAGAAUCGUAUGAAUGACAUCCUUUUGAAUCUUGACAAUGGAUGUGUAACUUUGAAAAUUCAAAUUCUGAUGAAAUGGCAACCAAAUUUGGCAA
Molecule: non-coding RNA, 523 nt
Organism: Salvia hispanica
Lineage: Eukaryota; Viridiplantae; Streptophyta; Magnoliopsida; Lamiales; Lamiaceae
Source: RefSeq, a predicted model, not a curated record